ACACACCGCCCGUCACACCAUGGGAGUCGAUAACGCCCGAAGUCAGUGACCCAACCGAAAGGAGGGAGCUGCCGAAGGCGGGAUUGGUAACUGGGGUGAAGUCGUAACAAGGUAAC
This 116-nucleotide ribosomal RNA is filed under the name uncultured bacterium. Its description in RNAcentral is "partial 16S ribosomal RNA". It matches the Rfam family "Bacterial small subunit ribosomal RNA", at positions 1385 to 1500 of the family's 1533-position model. The record is from RNAcentral.